This 468-nucleotide ribosomal RNA is filed under the name uncultured bacterium. RNAcentral's name for it is "partial 16S ribosomal RNA". It matches the Rfam family "Bacterial small subunit ribosomal RNA", at positions 28 to 507 of the family's 1533-position model. The record is from RNAcentral.
GACGAACGCUGGCGGCGUGCUUAACACAUGCAAGUCGAACGGAAAGGCCCUGCUUUUGUGGGUUUCUCGAGUGGCGAACGGGUGAGUAACACGUGAGUAACCUGCCCUUGACUUUGGGAUAACUUCAGGAAACUGGGGCUAAUACCGGAUAUGAGCUCCUGCUGCAUGGUGGGGGUUGGAAAGUUUCGGCGGUUGGGGAUGGACUCGCGGCUUAUCAGCUUGUUUGUGAGGUAGUGGCUUACCAAGGCUGUGACGGAUAGCCGGCCUGGGAGGGUGACCGGCGACAUUAGGACUAAGAUAGGACCCAGACGCAAAGGGGAGGCAACAGUGGAGAAUAUUGCGCAGUAGGCAAAAGACAGAUACAACAACGCCGAGUGAGGAAUGAAGGACUUCGGGUUGAAAACCGAUUUCGACUGUGACGAAGAGUGAGUGACGGUAAUGGAUAAAGAAGCACCGGCUAACUACGUG